CUAUCGUUCUAUGUUUUCAGGAUAUAAUCAGUAAAAAAUAUCAUUAGUAUUCAUUCGCGUUAACUUUGCGUAAGGAAGUAGUUCGUACCAAAACAAAGUUUUCGACGCUAUAUUUGUAUGUGAAAGCUGAUCUCAUCAUUUUCUAAAAGUAGGUACAGAAAACUUACCAAUAUUAUUUGAACUUAAUGUAAUCUGUUUUGGAAUUCUUAUUUGGAUUUCAUGAUGUGUAACAGUGUUGAUAAUUCAGGUGUCUUGAUAUAUUUUUUGUUGUUGUUUGAGUUGUUUCCCUUGUUUUCCCGCAAUAUCACUAGUUUUGUCUAUGUUUAAGCGGCUUUGUUUGUAAAAAGUUCAAAGUGUUCUUAAUUUAUUGGAAAUAUGGAUUAUUGAUAGUUGAAGUUACAGCAGAGAGAGAGAGAGAGAGUUUGACAGUAUGCGUGUUUGAAGAAGAUAAUGCUUUUAUUGGUACAUUCAAUUCCACAAACUGAGUGUUGAUUUCCUCGAUUUCAUUGACUCGAUGAUUCAUUCUCUGAUUUAUGAUUGUUGAUUGAAUGUUCUAAUGAUCAAUCAACUUAUUGAUUUACUGAUUGAUUGGACAUGUCAUGGAGCUUAAUAUAGAUGGAGAAGUAACUUACACGUCAUACAGUUAAAUUCAGUAUUAUUGGGGUUGUUCUAGUGCAAGUUAUCAUGUGUUUCGGGAUUUUCCAAGAUUUGAUGCAUCCUGGGUAAUAGCCAAAAUACCGCCAUUUUCAAUUCCAAGAGGAACA
Molecule: long non-coding RNA, 764 nt
Organism: Ruditapes philippinarum (Manila clam)
Lineage: Eukaryota; Metazoa; Mollusca; Bivalvia; Venerida; Veneridae
Exons: 3
Source: RefSeq, a predicted model, not a curated record